RNAcentral lists this unclassified non-coding RNA (219 nucleotides) under fungal sp. RNAcentral's name for it is "partial internal transcribed spacer region". Lineage: Eukaryota; Fungi. The record is from RNAcentral.
GAGAACCAAGAUAUCCAUUGUUAACAGUUGUUGUUUCCGUAGGUGAACCUGCGGAAGGAUCAUUAACACGUAUCCAACGUUAAACCCCCCUGUGAACUAUUGUCGUGCUCUCGUAGACCUUGAACAGCAAUCCCUGGUAAAUCAUUGACGAACAGCGUUUGAUUGAGGGACCUCUGUUUGAGAGGGCUACGAAUGUUGCGCUAGGAUCAGAGGCGACUU